GAUGAUGUGGUUUAAUUCGAUGCAACGCGAAAAACCUUACCCACCUUUGACAUGUACGGAAGUUGCCAGAGAUGGUUUCGUGCUCGAAAGAGAACCGUAACACAGGUGCUGCAUGGCUGUCGUCAGCUCGUGUCGUGAGAUGUUGGGUUAAGUCCCGCAACGAGCGCAACCCUUGUCAUUAGUUGCUACAUUUAGUUGGGCACUCUAAUGAGACUGCCGGUGACAAACCGGAGGAAGGUGGGGAUGACGUCAAGUCCUCAUGGCCCUUAUAGGUGGGGCUACACACGUCAUACAAUGGCUGGUACAAAGGGUUGCCAACCCGCGAGGGGGAGCUAAUCCCAUAAAGCCAGUCGUAGUCCGGAUCGCAGUCUGCAACUCGACUGCGUGAAGUCGGAAUCGCUAGUAAUCGUGGAUCAGAAUGUCACGGUGAAUACGUUCCCGGGUCUUGUACACACCGCCCGUCACACCAUGGGAGCGGGUUCUGCCAGAAGUAGUUAGCCUAACCGCAAGGAGGGCGAUUACCACGGCAGGGUUCGUGACUGGGGUGAAGUCGUAACAAGGUAACC
RNAcentral lists this ribosomal RNA (566 nucleotides) under uncultured Curvibacter sp. RNAcentral describes it as "bacterial SSU rRNA". It matches the Rfam family "Bacterial small subunit ribosomal RNA", at positions 935 to 1501 of the family's 1533-position model. The record is from RNAcentral. Lineage: Bacteria; Pseudomonadati; Pseudomonadota; Betaproteobacteria; Burkholderiales; Comamonadaceae.